CCUACGGGUGGCAGCAGUGAGGAAUAUUGGUCAAUGGGCGCGAGCCUGAACCAGCCAAGUAGCGUGAAGGAUGAAUGCCCUACGGUUUGUAAACUUCUUUUAUAAGGGAAUAAAGUUAUGCACGUGUGCCUUUUUGCAUGUACUUUAUGAAUAAGGAUCGGCUAACUCCGUGCCAGCAGCCGCGGUAAUACGGAGGAUCCGAGCGUUAUCCGGAUUUAUUGGGUUUAAAGGGUGCGUAGAUGGUUUGUUAAGUCAGUUGUGAAAGUUUGCGGCUCAACCGUAAAAUUGCAAUUGAGACUGGCAGCCUUGAGUAUAGUUGAGGUAGGCGGAAUGCGUGGUGUAGCGGUGAAAUGCAUAGAUAUCACGAAGAACUCCGAUUGCGAAGGCAGCCUACUAAACCGUCACUGACACUGAUGCUCGAAAGUGUGGGUAUCAAACAGGAUUAGAUACCCGAGUAGUC
RNAcentral lists this ribosomal RNA (460 nucleotides) under uncultured bacterium. Its description in RNAcentral is "partial 16S ribosomal RNA". It matches the Rfam family "Bacterial small subunit ribosomal RNA", at positions 338 to 795 of the family's 1533-position model. The record is from RNAcentral.